UGGCUUAUUGGAGAGACAACGCAAACCGGUUCAAAGAAUUGUCUGCUAUGGCCUGUGAUGUCUUGAGCAUCCCCAUUACAACAGUAGCUGCAGAAUCUUCAUUUAGCAUAGGAAGCCGAGUCUUAAAUAAGUACAGGAGUUCACUUCUUCCUUCAAAUGUGCAAGCACUGAUUUGCGCAAGGAAUUGGCUACGUGACUUUGAAGAAAUUAGUGUUCCAGUUGAGUUCCUUGAUGAAGACAAAGGUGUGAAGGAAGGAGAAGAAGAAGUUUAAGACAUUUGUGAAGGAAGUAGAAGAAGAAGUUCACAUUUGAAUACUUUAUUGCUAUGAUUUGCUUUUGGAUUUGAUACUUUGUUGCUUUGAUUUGCUUUUGUAUGUGAUACUUUGUUGUUUAUUUGGAUAUUUGUCUUAAACUUUUGGAUUGAAUUUGAGAUUUUUGCAGAUUUUGGCGUUUUUCAUAAUUUGUUCUUGUGGUGACCAAUGGACACCAAUGGACAGCCCAUUAAAACAUGGGCUAUAAUGGGCAUGGGCUAUAAUGGACAUGGACAUUAUUUGUCCAUAACUAAAAUGGUCAAUAUUGGACCGGGCUAAUGGACGUGGACAGCCCAUUUUGACAGCUCUA
This is a long non-coding RNA of Arabidopsis lyrata subsp. lyrata, 621 nucleotides long. RefSeq lists it as uncharacterized. Lineage: Eukaryota; Viridiplantae; Streptophyta; Magnoliopsida; Brassicales; Brassicaceae. The record is from RefSeq and is a predicted model, not a curated record. The transcript is spliced from 2 exons.